GGUGGCUCAGUGGUAGAGCACUUGCCUUGCAUGCAUGAGGCCGUGGGGUCGAUUCCCCAGCACCA
Molecule: transfer RNA, 65 nt
Filed under: Dipodomys ordii (Ord's kangaroo rat)
Lineage: Eukaryota; Metazoa; Chordata; Mammalia; Rodentia; Heteromyidae
Rfam family: tRNA
About the family: Transfer RNA (tRNA) molecules are approximately 80 nucleotides in length. Their secondary structure includes four short double-helical elements and three loops (D, anti-codon, and T loops). Further hydrogen bonds mediate the characteristic L-shaped molecular structure. tRNAs have two regions of fundamental functional importance: the anti-codon, which is responsible for specific mRNA codon recognition, and the 3' end, to which the tRNAs corresponding amino acid is attached (by aminoacyl-tRNA synthetases). tRNAs cope with the degeneracy of the genetic code in two manners: having more than one tRNA (with a specific anti-codon) for a particular amino acid; and 'wobble' base-pairing, i.e. permitting non-standard base-pairing at the 3rd anti-codon position.
Source: Rfam by way of RNAcentral